AUAUUCGCCUUUAUUAAUUUUCUAGGAAUAAUUAGCAGCCUGUAGGGGAUUACAUUUCUCUACCAGAAACCACAAUUUCCUGAUAAUGAAUGUAAAGUCAUUGAAAAUGUAAGCUCACCUUGUGUUUCCAAACAAUACUGGAAGUUUCAAUGAGUUAUGUAAUUCUCAGUCAGGGAGAGGGGAGCAGUGAAUGGACUCUUUCACU
This is a non-coding RNA of Pelobates cultripes (western spadefoot toad), 205 nucleotides long. The record is from the annotation of a GenBank genome assembly. NCBI's taxonomy places the organism in Eukaryota, Metazoa, Chordata, Amphibia, Anura, Pelobatidae.